RNAcentral lists this ribosomal RNA (640 nucleotides) under Bacillus sp. FJAT-4569. RNAcentral's name for it is "bacterial SSU rRNA". It matches the Rfam family "Bacterial small subunit ribosomal RNA", at positions 81 to 756 of the family's 1533-position model. The record is from RNAcentral. Lineage: Bacteria; Bacillati; Bacillota; Bacilli; Caryophanales; Bacillaceae.
GCCCCGCAAGGGGAGCGGCAGACGGGUGAGUAACGCGUGGGAAUCUACCCAUCUCUACGGAAUAACGCAUGGAAACGUGUGCUAAUACCGUAUACGUCCUUCGGGAGAAAGAUUUAUCGGAGAUGGAUGAGCCCGCGUUGGAUUAGCUAGUUGGUGGGGUAAAGGCCUACCAAGGCGACGAUCCAUAGCUGGUCUGAGAGGAUGAUCAGCCACACUGGGACUGAGACACGGCCCAGACUCCUACGGGAGGCAGCAGUGGGGAAUAUUGGACAAUGGGCGCAAGCCUGAUCCAGCCAUGCCGCGUGAGUGAUGAAGGCCCUAGGGUUGUAAAGCUCUUUCACCGGUGAAGAUAAUGACGGUAACCGGAGAAGAAGCCCCGGCUAACUUCGUGCCAGCAGCCGCGGUAAUACGAAGGGGGCUAGCGUUGUUCGGAUUUACUGGGCGUAAAGCGCACGUAGGCGGACUAUUAAGUCAGGGGUGAAAUCCCGGGGCUCAACCCCGGAACUGCCUUUGAUACUGGUAGUCUUGAGUUCGAGAGAGGUGAGUGGAAUUCCGAGUGUAGAGGUGAAAUUCGUAGAUAUUCGGAGGAACACCAGUGGCGAAGGCGGCUCACUGGCUCGAUACUGACGCUGAGGUGCGA